CCCGCUCAAAGUAAACUUAAGUAGUAAUGGACGGGGCCCGCACAAGCGGUGGAGUAUGUGGUUUAAUUCGAUGCAACGCGAAGAACCUUACCUGGUCUUGACAUCCCGGAGACCCUUAGGAAACUAGGGGGUGCUUCCAUCUGGAAGAAUCUGGAGACAGGUGCUGCAUGGCUGUCGUCAGCUCGUGUCGUGAGAUGUUGGGUUAAGUCCCGCAACGAGCGCAACCCUUGCCUUUAGUUGCCAGCAGUUCGGCUGGGCACUCUAAAGGGACUGCCGGUGUUAAACCGGAGGAAGGUGGGGAUGACGUCAAGUCCUCAUGGCCUUUAUGACCAGGGCUACACACGUACUACAAUGGCCGAUACAAAGGGCAGCGACACUGCGAGGUGAAGCCAAUCCCGUAAAAUCGGUCUCAGUCCGGAUUGGAGUCUGCAACUCGACUCCAUGAAGUUGGAAUCGCUAGUAAUCGUGGAUCAGCAUGCCACGGUGAAUACGUUCCCGGGCCUU
Molecule: ribosomal RNA, 504 nt
Filed under: uncultured Desulfobulbus sp.
Lineage: Bacteria; Pseudomonadati; Thermodesulfobacteriota; Desulfobulbia; Desulfobulbales; Desulfobulbaceae
Description: bacterial SSU rRNA
Rfam family: Bacterial small subunit ribosomal RNA
Source: RNAcentral